AGGGUUUGAUCAUGGCUCAGAUUGAACGCUGGCGGAAUGCUUUACACAUGCAAGUCGAACGGCAGCACGGACUUCGGUCUGGUGGCGAGUGGCGAACGGGUGAGUAAUGUAUCGGAACGUAUCCAGUAAUGGGGGAUAACUAAUCGAAAGGUUGGCUAAUACCGCAUACGCCCUACGGGGGAAAGCAGGGGAUCUUCGGACCUUGCGUUAAUGGAGCGGCCGAUAUCUGAUUAGCUAGUUGGUGAGGUAAGAGCUCACCAAGGCGACGAUCAGUAGCUGGUCUGAGAGGACGACCAGCCACACUGGAACUGAGACACGGUCCAGACUCCUACGGGAGGCAGCAGUGGGGAAUUUUGGACAAUGGGCGCAAGCCUGAUCCAGCCAUUCCGCGUGAGUGAAGAAGGCCUUCGGGUUGUAAAGCUCUUUCGCAAGGGAAGAAACGAUGCAGACGAAUAAUCUGUGUUAAUGACGGUACCUUGAUAAGAAGCACCGGCUAACUACGUGCCAGCAGCCGCGGUAAUACGUAGGGUGCAAGCGUUAAUCGGAAUUACUGGGCGUAAAGCGUGCGCAGGCGGUUUUGUAAGUCAGAUGUGAAAUCCCCGAGCUCAACUUGGGAACUGCGUUUGAAACUAC
Molecule: ribosomal RNA, 633 nt
Filed under: uncultured Methylotenera sp.
Lineage: Bacteria; Pseudomonadati; Pseudomonadota; Betaproteobacteria; Nitrosomonadales; Methylophilaceae
Description: bacterial SSU rRNA
Rfam family: Bacterial small subunit ribosomal RNA
Source: RNAcentral